AUGCAAGUCGAGCGAGAUUUUUCGUUGUAGCAAUACGAUGGAAAGUCUAGCGGCGAACGGGUGCUUAACACGUGGGCAACCUGCCAUGAAGUGGGGGAUAGCUCGCCGAAAGGCGAAUUAAUACCGCAUGUGAUUAGAGAGGACAUCCUUUCGAAAUUAAAGUCGGGGCAACCUGACGCUUCUUGUGGGGCCCGCGGCCUAUCAGCUAGUUGGUGAGGUAACGGCUCACCAAGGCUUUGACGGGUAGCUGGUCUGAGAGGACGACCAGCCACACUGGGACUGAGACACGGCCCAGACACCUACGGGUGGCAGCAGUCGAGAAUUUUUGACAAUGGGGGAAACCCUGAUCGAGCGACGCCGCGUGGAGGAUGAAGGUCUUCGGAUUGUAAACUCCUGUCAUUGGGGAACAAGGUGCAUACGUUAACUGCGUGUGCAUUGAUAGUACCCGAAGAGGAAGAGACGGCUAACUCUGUGCCAGCAGCCGCGGUAAUACAGAGGUCUCAAGCGUUGUUCGGAUUCAUUGGGCGUAAAGGGUGCGUAGGCGGCGCGGUAAGUCGG
RNAcentral lists this ribosomal RNA (558 nucleotides) under uncultured soil bacterium. RNAcentral's name for it is "bacterial SSU rRNA". It matches the Rfam family "Bacterial small subunit ribosomal RNA", at positions 55 to 591 of the family's 1533-position model. The record is from RNAcentral.